CAGUCGCCGCGGGAAUACGUAGGGGGCGAGCGUUGUCCGAAGUUACUGGGCGUAAAGAGCGCGUAGGCUGGUCUUUAAGUGAGUGGUGAAAGGUUCGGGCUCAACCCGGACACUGCCUUUCAUACUGGGGACCUUGAGUGUGGGAGAGGCGAGUGGAAUGGUCGGUGUAGCGGUGAAAUGCGUAGAUAUCGAUCGGAACACCCAUGGCGAAGGCAGCUCGCUGGCCUAACACUGACGCUGAGGCGCGAAAGCGUGGGGAGCAAACAGGAUUAGAUACCCCCGUAGACCCUGUCUCUUAUAC
Molecule: ribosomal RNA, 301 nt
Filed under: uncultured bacterium
Lineage: Bacteria
Description: partial 16S ribosomal RNA
Rfam family: Bacterial small subunit ribosomal RNA
Source: RNAcentral